CCGCCGGCCGCGGCGGUUUUCCUUCCUCCCUCAUCUCUCGCGACCGGCCGAUGUGCCCUAGGUGUCGAGCCACUGCCGGCCGACACCGUCCAGCAACGCCAGCGUCGAUUGGGUCGUGCCCUAGCACUGCCGGCCUCCCCUGUGAUCUUGCGCCGCCGUCGUCACCCACAGCCGACCGACACCGUGUGUCCACCGCACCGAGCCUAGUUCUUCCUCUGUGUGCCACUGCCGAGAGCGAGCAGUAUCGCGUCGUGCCCUAGACUUGGUUCACCGUCGCUCUAGCGAGUUGGUCUUCAACCAAAAACAAACCUCCAAGCUCUAGUGGCUUCACCGUGACCUAUACCUCACCAUCGGAUCUUCCUGCUUCGCCACUAGCCGUCAGCAGAGAGAAAACAAAAAGGUAUCGAGUAGAAUCAGUGUAGCUCCGGCCAAGAAUCUGCGACAGUAGGUAUUUUCGGCUAGCAAUUUCCAGCAGCAACCUCCCUGCUAUGAGAAUUGAGGACUUUGACGCGAGACGAGUAUCUCGACGUCGUAUUCGGACCAGAUUGGAUCCUUUCUUUG
This is a long non-coding RNA of Zingiber officinale, 561 nucleotides long. RefSeq lists it as uncharacterized. NCBI's taxonomy places the organism in Eukaryota, Viridiplantae, Streptophyta, Magnoliopsida, Zingiberales, Zingiberaceae. The record is from RefSeq and is a predicted model, not a curated record. The transcript has 3 exons.